GAUGAUGCUUCCCAAGGAUCUAGGAGAUUGUCAGAUCAUCUUUGAGGUCACUCUGACUAGUCCCACUAGGAACAAGCUGCUGUUUAAAAAUAGCGACUGCAGGGGGAUGUUCCCAAGACGAAAUCAGACCUGCCAAUCAACUCCAGCCUUGGGCCUCCACAUCCACUUCCAAGAGCCCUUCAUUCUCUUUCUCAUUCGAAAUUGUUGAGAAAUAAAGAUACUCAGGGAAUGAUCAGAUAAAGAGGAACCUUCCAUGAAGCCCAUUGUGAGGUGAAAAUUUUAAAAUAUUAAUCUAUCUGAUUUGACCAAGAAAAAGAUGAUCUGAAGAGCAACGUUUCAUUUUUAUAUAUUCAGAAUGUAGAAUUUUAAUUUUGUAAACUUUCAGUUAACGUGCAAAAAGCUAAGAUUGAAUCAUUACGAUGAUCAAUAAUUUUGUUCAGGGAAACCACAAAUUAAAAUUAAACCGAAAUUCAGGAUCUCUGCUAAAAUCUUGGCCU
RNAcentral lists this long non-coding RNA (497 nucleotides) under Equus caballus (horse). RNAcentral describes it as "lncRNA (ENSECAG00000052702.1)". The record is from RNAcentral. Lineage: Eukaryota; Metazoa; Chordata; Mammalia; Perissodactyla; Equidae.